Molecule: ribosomal RNA, 253 nt
Filed under: uncultured bacterium
Lineage: Bacteria
Description: partial 16S ribosomal RNA
Rfam family: Bacterial small subunit ribosomal RNA
Source: RNAcentral
AACGUAGGACGCAAGCGUUAUCCGGAGUUACUGGGCGUAAAGGGCGUGUAGGCGGCGCUUCAAGUUCGUCGUGAAAGACCCCGGCUAAACCGGGGGAGGUCGAGGGAGACUGAAGCGCUGGAGGACGGUAGAGGGACGGGGAAUUCCGGGUGUAGUGGUGAAAUGCGUAGAGAUCCGGAGGAACACCAGUGGCGAAGGCGCUGUCCUGGGCCGUUUCUGACGCUGAGACGCGAAAGCAUGGGGAGCGAACGGG